This 265-nucleotide long non-coding RNA is filed under the name Piliocolobus tephrosceles (Ugandan red Colobus). RNAcentral describes it as "lncRNA (ENSPTEG00000008757.1)". Lineage: Eukaryota; Metazoa; Chordata; Mammalia; Primates; Cercopithecidae. The record is from RNAcentral.
AAACAAACAAACAAACAAACAAACAAACAAACAAAAUAGUUACACAUAAUAUGUUUAAUUAUUAUGUUAAUUUUUAUUUUAUAUUUUUUUUUUUUUUUUUUUUUUUUUAUUUUUAUUUUUUUUUAUUUUAUUUUUUUCUUUUACCUCUAUAUCAGUACUAUUCUUUUUACUUUUUGGAUUGGAAAACAUAUUGUUUUUUUUAUUAUAUACACUGCGUAUAUACAAAAAUACAUUCUCUGUGUAUAUAAUAAAAAAAACAAUAUGU